UUCUUUCAUUUCUCUCACUUAUAUAUAUAUUUAUUGGUCUUCACACGCUCCCUCCCCAAGUGGAACAAUGCACGGGCUCAUUUCGGAUGGCGACAUCACGCCAGUCUUGUCAACUUUUUGUUUCCCCCUCCCUGUAUGUUUUUUCUUCCACCCCCCUGCACACUCCAUUCGCUGCUUUCAAGAUAGACGCACAAACCAGGAUUUAUUGUUUUUCUUAUUGACUUCGUUUUUACAACCAGGGUUCCUUCUUCUCUCGUUCAUUUUUGGUAUUUUCCGUGCGUUUUUUUUUUGCGCGUAGGAAAGCAGCAAAGUGAGAAUCUGCCAUGAAGGCGUUUUCAUCCAUUCAGGUGCCCUUUUUUAAGUUCAGCAUCUUGUUAAUUGGUGCGCGGUAGCUUUAUCUGUACGCGCGUGAAAGUAAAAAUGUGUGUCUGUGACUAUGAGUGUGAGUGUCUGGCAGUAAUUCCCGAAGCGUGCCACGGAAUGUGAGAACUGUGCAUCGCAUGAAAAAAAAAAAGCAUUGCGCUCACUCGUUAGGGUCAAUUUUUACUCCUUUUUUUCCGCCCAUAUAUUGAAUAGUUUUUCUUGGUCAGUCUGUUAGUUUGAAAAUAGUGUGCAACGUAUUUGCAUAUUUACUUUUUGGUUUAUGUUACAAUGAUUAUUGCACCUGAAUUAUGUCUUUAUUUAUUAAUAUAUUCACGUUUCCUUUACUUUUUUUUGCCGAUUUAUUUCGUGUUAGAUUGGCCACACAUUCAUAAUUUGUUAAUAAUGAAAUAGUGUAUUAUUAUGUACAUCUUAAUAUAUUUGUGAUAAUAAUUAUGAUUGUAUUUCGUAGUUGUGCAUUAUUCAUAUGUAUAUAUUAGCAUUUACAAACGGUGUAAGAAAAAAAAACAAAAAAAAAACGGCAUGAUCUUUUAUGCCGUACUUUUAUAUAUUAUUAUGAUUCAAAGCAGUGUAUUUUCUCUGCGCGUGUGGAUUGCGUCUUUGCUGUCUGGUUCAAGUCCCCGUUAAGCCGAAAGGGAUCGCUGUAGGCGCUGCUAAAGAGCGUGUGCGCGCGCGACUGAUGAUCACGUGGUUAAAAAAAAACUGCAACGCAAAAAAGGGUGAAAAAAGAGUGAUGACGUUGGAGAGCGGAGAGCGGCGAAGGCAGCCUUUCCAAAAAAGAAGGGGAAAAGCGGAGGAGGGGAGGGCGAAACAAAAGCGAGUCGAGCGUCUAAUGAACAGAUGACAGCGCGGGACAGCAGCAUGAUGCUGAUACGACAACAAGACUCACCGGAAUGGAACCCUUUUUCUUUAUUCUUAUAUUUGAAAGCACAAAUGCUAAUUGCAUUGAUGAUAGGGUUGAAAAUCGUGCCAACUGCACACACAGAUGUAUGGUGUUCAUCUGAUGGCGCCGCCCACCCUCAUGGGGCUGAAUGGCAGACUGCUGCGAUGCGCUAAGUGAUGAAAUGAUGACCCCAUUAUGAGAAGUGGCUCCAAAAUGAGGGGGUAUCGGCCAAAGAUUGCGGACCGCCGCCACCGCCGCCAUUCUUCUCCUCCUCCUGCUGCUUGCCCCGCUGCACACACGAUGAUUGAUUUGCUUGAGAUGGAUCACAGGAAGCAGCUAUUGAUUUUUCCUGUCCCUGCCUAUAGUGUUUUAUGAAGAAAAUACUUAUUUACACUUGGGUGUUUUCCAGACUUACUCAAUAUCCACUUUUUUGGGGGGGAGGAUAAAGGAUCUAAUUGUCCUUGCUCAGUGACGUGAUAAAUGACCUGUAAUAUUAUUUCAGUAGGGAGUCAAUAGGCGGGCUGACUAAAUGAAUAUUGAUUGGUUACAAUGAAGCCUUGAAUGUGGAUGGGAGCCUUCUGUCAGGGCCUUGCAGUCAGCAAGCAUUCAGACUGAUGAUGCCCCGCGUACACUUACAGAGGCCAAAAUACAGUGAAAAGUCAGAGUUACACUUUUUUUUUCUCACAAAUUGUGGAAAUCAAUCAAUCCCUUUCAGGUUCCCACUGAACCAUCAUAAAACCUUGACUGUUAAAGGAAUGUUUGAAGCGAUAUUGAUUUGAAACCUUUAAAAACAAAUUUUAAAAAAUACAGUAAAACAAAAACAAAAUCUGGCACUGGCAUCUGGAACUUAAAUAAAAAAAUCCCUUACUCAUGACAUUUUAAACCUUUUGUCCACUUAUAUCAGUUAUCAACAGGAAAUGCUGGUUCACGACUGUACAGUUCAAGUUACUACCACCCACUGGAGUUUUCUAUUCUUCCUCUAAUAUUGUGUUUACUUGAUGCUGAAGUACACUGUAUGAACUAUCUUUUGUUAUGCGCUGCAAUGGUCAUUACUAUUGUAUGAAAACAUUACGCUAGACAUUAUUCACCUUUUGUAAGUAUGAACCAGUUAUAAAUAGUAAGCGCUGGCUCACGAUUUGGCAAAAUCAAACUACACCACACACUAGCGUUAACUAUCCUGUGUCUUAUUCGGUGGUUGCCUUAAGCUUUGACCAUUUCAAAAUAGCAAACGUGGACAUAUUUUAAAGUGAAAGAAGUAUCACUUUUUUACCACUACAUAACCGCAUAAAUGUGUGUGCACUAUCUGGCAAGCCUGAGGUCAUUUGCACUGUUAUUUAACAAUGUCUAGCACAUUAUUAAGACUGAGCAAAAAAUAAAAAAUAAAUUAACCUUUGUAUUAACAAUGUAUAAACCCUUUAUGAUAAAGGGUCCUCAUUAUAAAAGUGGCAUCUAAAGUAGUACAUUAGUUCUCUUCUCACCACUGACCCCGCGUAUAAAAAGAUGACAUGAAAUGACUCACACUUUUACACACGGUGUAUGCAAAAGUGGGGAGCAGACAUCUUGCCAAUUCAGCGUAAACAUUGUGUAGCUGAUCUGUAUGAUUCAGUCACCAACAGUAAUUGAUGGUUCAAGCUACUAAUCAAAUGAAAAUUAAAUUAAAAUUAAAAAUAAGUUGCAAAAAUAAGUUAAUAAAAGACUAAAUUAAAUUCAGCAUGAACACUAUAUUGAAAAUGUAGUUUACCCAAAAGUCGUUUAAGGAUAUCUUUGAAGGUGAAAAUGCGUGUGUGUGUGUGUGUGUGUGUGCGUGGCCUACAAGUAACUGGUCACAAAUCCAGGGUUUACCUUGCUUCCCUCACUUGGGAUCAGAUCCAGCUCACCUGUGACCCAAAUUAGGAUGAGUGGUAUAGAAACAUGGAUGGAUGCACUGCGAGCCAUUCUGAGUGGUAAACAUCCACGUAAAUAUCAUCACUGAACAUCAUCAAGAUGCGCAGGGCGGCUUUACCCAAGAGCAACAUGUUCCGUCAAGUUAAACAGACGAGCGAGAUGCUAACAGCCACUGCACUGUACACAUUGGCAGCAACUAUAAUCCACUCGAAAAGGAGUGUGUGGCUUGGCCUGCAUUUCAUAUAUAUACAGUAUAUAUAUAUAUGUGUGUGUGUGUGUGUGUGUGUGUGUGUUUGUGUGUGUGAGGCGUAAUGAAAUUUGACACGGUUGGUGAUAGAUCACAACCCAGGUAAUGUAAACACAUGAAUCCCUCAGGGUUCAGCCACUGUUCCACUGCAGCCCUCCCCACACCAGACCCCCACCUUCCCCUCUCCACUCCAUGCCCAUCAUCUUCCCUAAAUGUGUUAUUCGAGCACAACACCAGAAGUAGCCUUAAUCUGUCAACAUGGCCUUUAAUUGGACCACCGGAAGAAAAAAAAAAACAAACAUAAACGAUGCCACUCCAAAGUGCACACAUGCCGUAAGAAGGACGUUUAUCCCAAGAGAGCUCAGAAGGCAUAAUUAAAAGUAGCUUUUAAUAGGCUUGUAAUGCAGAGCCGCCGUAGAGGGCGAACAUGUGAGGGGG
Hippocampus zosterae (dwarf seahorse) is the source of this 3833-nucleotide long non-coding RNA. RefSeq lists it as uncharacterized. The transcript is spliced from 2 exons. The record is from RefSeq and is a predicted model, not a curated record. Lineage: Eukaryota; Metazoa; Chordata; Actinopteri; Syngnathiformes; Syngnathidae.